Molecule: long non-coding RNA, 7124 nt
Filed under: Selaginella moellendorffii
Lineage: Eukaryota; Viridiplantae; Streptophyta; Lycopodiopsida; Selaginellales; Selaginellaceae
Description: long non-coding RNA (SMOE_LNC000033)
Source: RNAcentral
AAACCUCUCCAGCCUCGAGAGCUUGGAAAGCUUGGACCUCAGUGGGAACUUCUUGGGAGUGGCUGGAGUUCCAAAGUUUAGCUCCACGCUGCGAUCGCUCAACCUGUCCAUCAACAACUUGACUGGGAGCGUCUCCAUCGGUGGUAACCUGGGACUGGAGGCACUGGAGCUCUCGCACAACGGAUUCAGCGGCUCCAUUCCAGAGACUUUCGGGGAGAUGACGAACUUGACGCGCCUGGACAUAUCGUAUAACAGGUUUACCGGAGAUCUACCCGAUAUCUGGAGCAAGAACUUGGAGCUCAGGUACUUGGAUAUCUCCAACAAUUCGCUCCAGGGCGGUUUGCCACCGAGCUUGCGAAGGCUACGCAAGCUCUCGGUUUUAAGCGCUAGAUCCAACUUUCUCUCCGGGCCACUGGAGCUGGAAGAUGGCGACUUUGCGAGCAUCGAGACUUUGCACCUCUUCCAAAACUUGUUUAACGGGACGGUACCAGCGAGGGUGGGAAGCUUGACGAACUUGAGGAUGCUGGUUCUCACGCAGAAUCGUUUCAGUGGCGCUAUACCUCCGGAGCUAGGAAACUGCUCGAACAUCAGAGAGAUAUGGCUCAACGGCAAUGACUUGACUGGAACCAUCCCAGGCGAGCUCUCGAAGCUGUCGCAUCUCCAGCAGCUAGUUCUCAAUGGCAACGACAUCGGUGGAGAGCUCCCUUCCGGACUCUCCAACUGCACGGAGCUGGUCGUUCUCUGGCUGGAGCAGAACAAGUUUUCUGGAAAUCUCCCGGACAGCUUCGCGAACUUGAGCCGCCUGCUCAUUCUCUCGCUCUCCGGCAAUGAUCUCGUCGGUUCCAUCCCGGCCUCCUACGGCAAGAUGAGCUCGCUGAUCGGCCUCGACGUUGGAUCGAACAGCCUCUCUGGAGAAGUCCCGGCCAUGCUGCAAAACGUCUCGACUUUGCAGUUCCUCUUCCUCUCAAACAACAGCUUCAGCGGCUCCAUCCCGGACUGGCUUCCCCGACUCAGGAACUUACGAGCCAUGGACUUCUCGCUUAACAGGUUCUCAGGCGAGAUACCGGCAAGCAUCGGCCGACUGUUCGCCAACGUCCAGCUCUACAACAUGACCAACACCACCCCGCUGGUUCACGCGCAAAGCCUCGUCUACAGUGGCUUCGCCUUCCCGACAACCAUAGACUUCUCCUCCAACCAGCUGAGUGGAAGCAUUCCAGCGACCAUCGGCGACCUCCACAACCUCCAGGUGCUGGACUUGAGCCACAACCAGCUAACCGGUCCCAUUCCCGAUUCCCUGGGAAACGCGAAGAACCUCUCCAGGGUGACGCUCGCGAGCAAUCGUCUCAAUGGCUCCAUACCAUCGUCCGUGGCGGACCUCUCGUUUCUCACCGUCUUCGACGUCUCCAACAACAGCCUGGUGGGACGGAUACCUUACAGCCCGCAACUCUCGUCCAUGGACGUGGCUCUCUUCGCGGGAAACCAUCUCUGUGGCGCGCCUGUGGCAAACUGCUCGAGCAGUGCUGCGCCGCCGGGUGGAAUCCAGUCCAGAGGUGGCGAGCUAGAAUCUCAAGAGGCGACGAGGAGAAAGACGCUCAUACCGAUCGUCAUCGCCAUCUUUGCGGCGGCCUUCUUCUGCGUCUUCCUGGCCAUGUACUUCGCGCUCGCUCGUCGGCGGCACAAGCUGUACUCCAACACCGACCGGGACAACGCCAGCUUCUCGCUCGCCUUCUGCGAGAAGCUCCCCGAGCAGAUCUCCGCGCGCAAGCUGGCGGCCGCCACAGACAACUUCAGCGGGGACAACGUCGUCGGGGACGGCGGCUUCGGCGUCGUGUACCGCGCAGUGCUGGAAAACGGCCAGGUGGUGGCCGUGAAGAAGCUCUCGUCGUGCGGCCUCCAGGGGGACCGCGAGUUCCGCGCCGAGCUCCAGACGCUGGGCGAGCUCAAGCACAAGAACCUGGUGCCGCUGCUGGGCUACUGCUCCGACAACAACGAUCGCCUCCUCAUCUACAAGUACCUCAAGAACGGCAGCGUCGACACUUGGCUCUACUGCCGCGAGCCCGGGAUGAAGCCGCUCGACUGGCCGACGAGGCUGAGGAUCGCCCGCGGCGCGGCGCAGGGGAUCGCGUACUUGCAUCAAGGUUGCGAGCAGCGGCACGCGAUCAUCCACCGGGAUAUCAAAGUGAGCAACAUACUCCUGGACGAAGAGUUUGAGGCUCACGUCGCGGACUUCGGGCUGGCGAGGCUGGUGAACGCUGGAGAGACGCAUGUAAGCACGGACGUGGCGGGAACCAUCGGCUACAUCCCACCGGAGUACAGCCACAAGUGCUUCGCGACGCCCAAGGGGGACGUGUACAGCUUUGGGGUGGUGUGCCUGGAGAUGCUCACGGCGAAGAGGCCGACGGACCAAUUCUUCCGGAAGAACACCGGGCUGGUGGCGUGGGUCUUGGGGUUGAGGAGUGGGGAGGAGAAGAGGAUGGCGCUGGACGAGUGCUUGCGGGAGCGGUGUGAGCAUGGCGCGGAGUUUGAUCAGAUGGUGGAGAUGAUGAGGAUCGCUUGCUGGUGCUGUAGAGACGCUCCAUCGAAGCGUCCUAGCAUGCAGGAGGUGGCGAGCUUGUUGGAGCGGCUAGAGAAGCGCGUGGUUCUUGGUGGUGGUGGUGGUGGUGGAUCGCCGACGCCGCUGCUCGAGAGGGAUCGAGAUGGGAGGAGCAGCAGCACCAGCAGUAGCAGCAGCGCUCCAGUCGAUGAUCCUUGCGUGGUUGAGCUCACAACCACGGUAUAGUGUAAACUUUUACUCGAGAAAGGAAAGCUUACAACAAACGUGCCAAUGGUGGCCGGGCGAUGCAAUCGAGCAAUGGGCUCUUGGGUCUUGUGAGAUCGUGCCGCGAUUUCGCUACGGCGGAGGCGAUCAUUGCGUCGCUGGAUCCAAUCGCGGAGGAUGUUUACCUUGCCAACAGUCUGAUUGAGAUUUAUGGGAAAUGUAUAGUUAGAUUGUCAAGAAGCUCGAACCAGUCUGGUGGUUCUAUAAGUCCAUAACUAUCAAUCCUUUAAGAAUUUUGGUAAUGUACAAAUUGCUCUCAAACUCGCUUCUUUGGAUUCUCUUGUUUUGCUCAAGAGUGUCAGAAGCUUGAAACUCUCUUCGCUGUGUUUGCAUGCUUGGAGCGACAUGAGCACACAGCCAACUACAAUCUUUUAUCACUGGUUUCCUUCCUCCGGUGAGUCUUGCAGCCUUGAAAUCCAUCAAAAGCUUCAUCACAAAUGUUCUAGAACUGAAGAGCAUUGCAGUUCAAGGAAUCCAGACUCAGCCUACAAGACUCUGGAGCGGGAGGGGCAAAAAUACGCCUUGACAUCUGAGCCAUGCUGCUUUUCAGGAAAGGUAAAUCUCAGCUUCUUUCUUGCACUUCACAUGCGCUUUGUGCUUAUUAUCAUCACUCCAAACUUGCAUAUUUGAGGGUCAACAACGAGGACGAACGAGAAGAAUUGAUCGAGAAAUGCUCGCCCAAAUGCUCGCUUCAUUUGUUCCGAAACAUCAACUCUCGUCAUUGCCAUGGCAACAAGCUCAAAUGUCUCCAAUCGAUCAAGCCCCAUGCUACAAUGGAUACGCAGCUGUUAUCAAUGUGAAACUCACAGACACAGACGAUUACUUCUCCAACGAAGUGGGAAGAGCGAUAGGAUUUGUGACUGCUCGCGAAGUGCCUUCACCAUAAUCGGGACCCACAUUUUAUGUGAGUGGAGAGUCCUUGGGAUGCUAAACCAAACUUUUUCUUGUAGUGUUAUGGAGUUGGCAAACUGUGUUGUGUGUUGAGAGUGGCCUACAAUCAAGAAGGUAAUCAAGAGAGUGGACAAUAAAUUUUACGACUCUGAGAGGUUGAGCUCAUGAGGGAGUGCAAGCACGAGAACGUCGUGAAAGUUCUUGACAUGGGCAAGGAAGAAGAUGGAGGUGACAUGGUUCUCGAGCACUUUUGGCAUAUUAGAAUUCAAUAAGGAUGGGCGACUACGUUACAAGCUCUCUAAGGUGGGCUGGAUUAAGGAAACCAUGUGGUAGCUUCUAAUGGGUUUAGCAGGCUUGCAAGCGAGAAGUUGUGAUCCUGCCCGAGUCAACUCUACCAACACUAAAUUGGAUCACUAGGAUUCAGGGCUCCUGAAGCUAUCUCCACAGAAGUUUGGAAAAGGUGUGGACAUGUGGUUAAGAAGCCUUUCAAGUGGUUAUAGAAAUUAUGAUUUAGGAGGAUGAGGCAAAGGUGAUAGAUAAAAUGAAGAAAUUGUACAAGAAAGAUUGGUCUAAGAAGAUUGAAGCCAAGGAUGUAGUGGAUUUGUUAUGGCGUUCGCUCGUUUGAGAUCAGUUUACGCUCACAAGCUUUAGGUGACAUUAGAAAAUACCCAAGAAAAGAAACUGUUGUCAAAGAAGAAAAGGUAAUGGCAAAUACCCUUUCCAAAAGUUAUGUCUGUUCUUAAAAGAAUUUUCUUAAAUUGCAUAGUGUCUAGGUAAAGAGGCUGCCAGAUUUUCUCACUCAGUUCUUGAGCGCCAGAAUUCUGCUGCUCUCCUCUUCUCGAGAUCUUGGACACCGAGGAGCUGCUCGAUCACCAAAGCCAUAUCAUCCCAGCUUCUCCAGAGUUCACAUUUAACUUCCUUGCGAAUUCCACCACGGCCUCCUUGAGAGCUACUGCUGCCGAGUUCGACAACUCCUCCACGAAAAAGAACGAAAACUUCGUUCGAGUGUGGGAUUCCCGGCUCGCAGACGUUGUGUUCGUGCCUUCUUCGCAGCUCUCUGCACGCGGCGGCGCUGGAAUGCUGAGGCGGCAUAUCGAAUCGCUGCAAGACAAGAAUAUCUGACGGUUGAAAUGAAUGACUUCGAAGGCCGCCCGGAAAAAUUUCCCUGUACAAUCCACCGCAGCCUUGGGUGCGAACAACGUGCCUCUGCGCGCUUGCAAUCCCGGGCUUGUAAAGCGGCGUCCAUCUCCUCGCGUUGCAUCUGAAAGAUGGGAUCAAAUGCAAUCGAUCGGCAGCAAUUCAUGCUACUCCGGAGAUCAAGCUCGUCACCAUCUUCAACGACGCGGGCCUGAAAGUAAACACGCGCUUUAGUCCAAGGACUUAAGAGAAAACCAACUUCUCUAGUUGUAGAAGUUCCUACGGACUGGCAGGAGUCAAGUCUAUGAGAGAAACAAAAGCGUCUACCAGAGUCCCUUGUAAAAGCUAUCCUGUUGAUGGAUUGUAGAGGCAAGUGGUAGAUGGCGGCUUAGGCGGCCAACAUCCCCGUCCACGACACCACGUCUCGCUCUUGUUGUGCCAUUGUGAUGUUCCAGGAGAGACGUUUAGCUGCCGGAUUCUGGGUGCGCUUGAUCUCAGCCCUUGGUGGGCUUGAUUUCAGGCGCUUGGCUGCCGCUUGAAUCUGCUGGAACCACAAGCUCGUCGGGGGUCGCUGGUGGGUGGGACGUGAUAGCUUGAUCCAAGUUGAAUGGCGCCACGAUGCAUUGUUGCGUGCGAUUCACUCCAACUGGCUUGACUUGGAAGACUACGCUGGACGAUUGAAGUCAGAUAGUUAUUUCGUCUUUCUUCCAGCUUUGAUGGUUCAACGCGCUUCAAAGUCAUCUACCGUUGACUUGGUUUUCCUUAAACAUCAGUCAAAACUGGUCGACUAGAUUAGACAGAUAAACACCUAUUUUGGAUUAAAUAUUAUUUAUUUUGUGCUCUUUAAAGGUUAUAUUGGCAUUAUUAUUUUAGUGACUAAGUAAAAUAUCGUGCAUGUACGAUCUGUGGCAUUAAGAUGGUGUGGUCAGAAUGAAGAUGAAGAUCAAGACGGACCAGAGUAAAGUGAACAUUGUCAAUUGGGCAGAAAUAGGGAGAAACACCAAAAAGCUCUGGAAGAACGUACCAAAAGCGUCAGCCAGAGUCCCUUAUAAAGGAAAGGCCAAGAAAGCUCUCCUGUCGAUGGAUUGUGCAAAGCGCGUGAUCGAUGCGACCACCGUCCCGUCCACGACAUCUCGUCUCGCUCCGCCAUCUUGUUGUGCCGUUGUGUGAUGUUCCAGAGAAGACGUUUGGAUGCCGGAUGCUGGAUCUCUUGGUGGCACUCGGACAUCCGGCAUGAUUUCAAUUUGCUGGAGCCACAAACUGGGGGAGCGUGAUCGUUUGAUCCAAGCUGACUGCAUUGUUGCUUGCGAUUCAAUCGGAAGACUACGCUGGAGCAUCGACACGACGUUCCUGAACUCCGCCGCGGCCAGAUCCCCUGCCUGGGCAUACGCGACGAGCAUCGCGGUCCACGCCACGAUAUCCCUCUCGGCCAUGCUCUCGAACGCCCACCUCGCCUCAAGAAGAUGCCCGGAUUUACCACAAAAUGCGUCUAGGAUUCGAGUUUGUUUUUUUCAAGGUCAAUCGGUACAGUCCACCAAGUCGAAUUGUCCAAGUCCACAUUCUAUCCCAACACAUAUCGUGUAAACUCUGGCGAAAACUCUUCCACUCUUUGAUGUUCUGAUCCAUCGGUUUGAUUAAAGAGUAUCGGCCAUGUCUCUCGCGGAUUUGCUGCUGCCUUUGUUUCUACUCGUCUUUCUCACAACAUCCCGGUCACAGUGCCCCACGAAUCCAUCCACAAUCGUGAACGACACACAGGUUCUUCUCUCUCUCCGUGACAGGCUUGGCAUCAAAGCGUGGAACGAGACCGCCAAUCCAAGAGCAUGGCGCGGUGUGGAGUGGAGCUCGGACAACCGAGUGGAGGGCCUCAAUAUGUCCAGGUUAAAUCUCUCGGGAGUUCUUCCUUCCAUCUGGGCCGAGCUUCCAUCGCUGGCUCGCUUGGACCUCUCGCAAAACGGCCUCUCCUCGCUGGAAGUCCCUGGUUGCAAGAACACGCAGCUCAAGCUCCUCAACUUGAGCUCCAAUUCUCUGCAAGAGGUCCCGGCAAACCUCUCCAGCCUCGAGAGCUUAGAAAGCCUGGACCUCAGUGCGAAUUUCUUAACAGUGCUCGGUGUUCCAAAGUUUAGCUCCACGCUGCGAUCGCUCAACCUGUCCAUCAACAACUUGAAUGGGAGCGUUUCCAUCGGUGGCAACCUGGGACUGGAGGCACUGGAGCUCUCGCACAACGGACUCAGCGGCUCCAUUCCAGAAACUUUCGGGGAGAUGACGAACUUGACGCGCC